AUAAGAUGUUCCAUAAUUUAGGAUCCGUGACUGAGCAACAAGAUAGGAGAAAAAGAGUCACAUCUUGGUAAUAUCUGUGGAAAAUUUUUAAUUUUAGGGAUGCUUGUCAGAAGCACGGGUAGUGGAUAAUAUAACAAGACUUGAUCCCAUUGCCACAUGCUACUCACAUCAGGAGAUCCUAGUCAGCUGUAAAGAUGAUUUAUUGCUUGCGUGCCUGUACAGUGUCCCUGAUAAUACUUUGGCUUGGGGUUGCGCACCAGACAUAUGCUUAAAUGGUAAUGUGUGCCCUGAGUGGAACAAAGCACCUAAUGGGUCAUACGUGGUUCAGGGAGGAUAUAGAUAUUGUUCAACAUGUCCCUCAUUUUAUCCACUUUCCCAAUUAUUGAAAGAACGAAUUCCAGAAUGUUACAACAGUACACAGAAUUAUCCCACAGAGACCACAGUGACACCAGCAACAAAGAACAGACAAGAACUGUCAGCUGGAGGCAUUGUUGGAAUAUCCUUGAGUGUGGUGGUAGUAAUUGGAGCUUUUGUAGUUGGGAUCUUCAUUUGGAGAGAGAGACAGAUGCACAUGCAUAGCCUCCCACCUACACAAUAUAUGGAAGGGGAAGGAACUGGAAUGAGGUCAGUCAUAUAAUGUACCAAAUGGUUCUACAGUAAAUGGAGAUAUUCCUAUGAUUAGGAUAGACCAACCUUAAAUUAACCUUAGACUCGGCGAAUAGUGUACUCCUUGGGUUGUAAAUUCAUUGUUUUGACCUCAAAAGCUAUAAAAAUGGUACAAUUGUACAUGUAUAAGGUAUACUAGGAUUCAUGCGUGAACAUACCCCGGUAAUAUUUGCAUUGUAUUUUUCACUUUUUAUUGCAUGUGUAAAUAUAAAAAUUUUAUGUUUUGAUUUUUUUUCAUGCAUGAUGGUUAUUUUAUUCA
Long non-coding RNA from Saccostrea echinata, 925 nucleotides. RefSeq lists it as uncharacterized. The transcript is spliced from 6 exons. The record is from RefSeq and is a predicted model, not a curated record. NCBI's taxonomy places the organism in Eukaryota, Metazoa, Mollusca, Bivalvia, Ostreida, Ostreidae.